This 418-nucleotide ribosomal RNA is filed under the name Grosmannia taigensis. RNAcentral describes it as "eukaryotic LSU rRNA". It matches the Rfam family "Eukaryotic large subunit ribosomal RNA", at positions 1 to 419 of the family's 3401-position model. Lineage: Eukaryota; Fungi; Ascomycota; Sordariomycetes; Ophiostomatales; Ophiostomataceae. The record is from RNAcentral.
GUUGACCUCGGAUCAGGUAGGACUACCCGCUGAACUUAAGCAUAUCAAUAAGCGGAGGAAAAGAAACCAACAGGGAUUGCCCCAGUAACGGCGAGUGAAGCGGCAACAGCUCAGAUUUGGAAUCUGGCCCCCAGGGCCCGAGUUGUAAUCUGGAGAGGAUGCUUCUGGCGCGGCGCCUUCCGAGUUCCCUGGAACGGGACGCCGGAGAGGGUGAGAGCCCCGUACGGUCGGACGCCUAGCCUCUGUGAAGCUCCUUCGACGAGUCGAGUAGUUUGGGAAUGCUGCUCAAAAUGGGAGGUAAAUUUCUUCUAAAGCUAAAUACCGGCCAGAGACCGAUAGCGCACAAGUAGAGUGAUCGAAAGAUGAAAAGCACUUUGAAAAGAGGGUUAAACAGUACGUGAAAUUGUUGAAAGGGAAG